CGAGGCAGGAGGAUGAACCGAGCCCAGGAGUUUGAGGUUGCUGUGAGCUAGUCUGACACCAAGGCACCCUAGCCCCGGUGACAGGGUGUAGGAUGGAGGGCCGAAGAAGCAGACUCCAGGCUGAACAUUCAGGAAUGACUUUGAGAGUCGUGCUGCAGAACGGAGCCACCAAAGGAGCCACUGCCUCUUCUAAAAUCAGGAAGUCAUGUACUGAAUUGGGAAGCUGUCACUAUACUUACCAGCUCUUGAGCCACACAGAGCUGUGAAACAUAUUGCUGCAUCUACGAACGAUGGUUUGCGGGAGGGCCUUUCCCCUGGGGUGCUUCGCCUUCCUGUUCCAUCCUGGCCGCUGCCCUCUACCCGCUGUCGGCUGUGGUCCAAGCGUCCCCUCCCCUCCCCGUGAGGUGCCCUGAGUCUCCCGCGUUCUGACCUCUGCUUCCUGCAUCCCAGAAUUGUUCCUGUUUGUCCCCGUAUUCCAGUCUCUGAUUUUCUAAUAGCGACGCUAGCCAGUUCACAAGCGCGACAGGAUGCAUAAAGACGUUUGCAUUUGCAAGUAAGGCUGCCCUCUGACCUUUAGGAAGCCACUUUCCCUGUUUGCUUUUUCCAGACCCAAUUUCCCCCCGUCUUGUCAAUACUUCACAGGUAACUCAGGACAGAAGCCCCUGGCGGGCCACCCGGCCACAUGCUCAGCACCCAGCAAGCUGUUCCACGGGCUGCCACUGUGAACUCCCAGCUAGGAGCCAAUCAGAAUUCAGCAGCAUGUCUCCUUUCCCUCAUCCCCUUGUUUGUAUGUUGAAGAUACUUUAAGCAUGUAACAUAAGGAUACCUUGUAAACUAGGUCAGGUAAGGGUAUUUUAAGUUUGAAAAUGGUAAACUCAACAUUAAAAAUCGCUUUGAGAUAUUCAAUGAUUUGCUAGUGGGAUCGCGUCUGCUCCUUUUAAAAGGCUGUAAAAAGAAGGGGCUGUUUUCUGUUGUAGUUUUAACUAUUAAGUCUCACUGUAGUUGACAUUGUUUAGCAGGAACUGCUAACAGUGAAACUGAGAAAAAGAAACACAAACAUGAACAAAUGACCUUUUAUUUCGUACGGAGAUAUAAAGGCAAUUGUGUGCAGCAGCAAUCUGAUGGGCAGUCCAAAUUCUCGGGAGGAAGUAAAUUCACGCUAAAUGUCAGGAUGGCUGCUUGAAGAGAAGGUCAAAGGAGGAGAGAUGAGACAGAGACUACUACAGCUAAUAAAUAAAAUCUGCAAGCCACGUGGUUUGAGCACCACAACUUGAGAGUUAGGGGUUCUCCACGCUUAGUAAUUCUAGAGUCGUCAUCAACAUUCUUGAAGUGCAUUUUGUGCUAUUUUGCAGUGGAAGUUGCUCGUUAAGGAAACUUUAAUCCUUACAAAUAAUUGAAUCAUUUUAUUAAAGGAGUUAUAAGCUUUGCUUAUUGUCUGUCUUGGAUGUGGCCUUUGGGACGGAUAUCCUCUUUUAAGGGUUGUCAACAGGGCUGACACACUUGGUUGGUCCCAUUUUUGAGGUGAUGCUAGUUGUAACAGCAUAUUCUUUUUUUUAUUAUUAUUAUUAAGACAGAGUCUCACUCUGUUGCCUAGGCUAGAGUGCCAUGGU
Molecule: non-coding RNA, 1610 nt
Organism: Microcebus murinus (gray mouse lemur)
Lineage: Eukaryota; Metazoa; Chordata; Mammalia; Primates; Cheirogaleidae
Source: RefSeq, a predicted model, not a curated record